Molecule: ribosomal RNA, 1421 nt
Filed under: [Mycoplasma] indiense
Lineage: Bacteria; Bacillati; Mycoplasmatota; Mycoplasmoidales; Metamycoplasmataceae
Description: 16S ribosomal RNA
Rfam family: Bacterial small subunit ribosomal RNA
Source: RNAcentral
CUGGCUGUGUGCCUAAUACAUGCAUGUCGAGCGGAAGUAGCAAUACUUUAGCGGCGAAUGGGUGAGUAACACGUGCUUAAUCUACCUUUUAGAUUGGAAUACCUAAUGGAAACAUUGGUUAAUGCCGGAUACGCAUGAAGUCGCAUGACUUCGUUGUGAAAGAAGCGUUUGCUUCGCUAAGAGAUGAGGGUGCGGAACAUUAGCUAGUUGGUGAGGUAAUGGCCCACCAAGGCUAUGAUGUUUAGCCGGGUCGAGAGACUGAACGGCCACAUUGGGACUGAGAUACGGCCCAAACUCCUACGGGAGGCAGCAGUAGGGAAUAUUCCACAAUGAGCGAAAGCUUGAUGGAGCGACACAGCGUGCACGAUGAAGGCCCUCGGGUUGUAAAGUGCUGUUGCAAGGGAAGAACAGUUAGAUGAGGAAAUGCUUCUAACCUGACGGUACCUUGUUAGAAAGCGAUGGCUAACUAUGUGCCAGCAGCCGCGGUAAUACAUAGGUCGCAAGCGUUAUCCGGAAUUAUUGGGCGUAAAGCGUUCGUAGGCUGUUUAUUAAGUCUGGAGUCAAAUCCCAGGGCUCAACCCUGGCUCGCUUUGGAUACUGGUAAACUAGAGUUAGAUAGAGGUAAGCGGAAUUCCAUGUGGAGCGGUGAAAUGCGUAGAUAUAUGGAAGAACACCAAAGGCGAAGGCAGCUUACUGGGUCUAUACUGACGCUGAGGGACGAAAGCGUGGGGAGCAAACAGGAUUAGAUACCCUGGUAGUCCACGCUGUAAACGAUGAUCAUUAGUCGGUGGAAAACUACUGACGCAGCUAACGCAUUAAAUGAUCCGCCUGAGUAGUAUGCUCGCAAGAGUGAAACUUAAAGGAAUUGACGGGGACCCGCACAAGCGGUGGAGCAUGUGGUUUAAUUUGAAGAUACGCGGAGAACCUUACCCACUCUUGACAUCCCCUGCAAAGCUAUAGAGAUAUAGUGGAGGUUAACAGGGUGACAGAUGGUGCAUGGUUGUCGUCAGCUCGUGUCGUGAGAUGUUUGGUCAAGUCCUGCAACGAGCGCAACCCCUAUCUUUAGUUACUAACGAGUUAUGUCGAGGACUCUAGAGAUACUGCCCGGGUAACCGGGAGGAAGGUGGGGAUGACGUCAAAUCAUCAUGCCUCUUACGAGUGGGGCUACACACGUGCUACAAUGGUCGGUACAAAGAGAAGCAAUAUGGCGACAUGGAGCAAAUCUCAAAAAGCCGAUCUCAGUUCGGAUUGAAGUCUGCAAUUCGACUUCAUGAAGUCGGAAUCGCUAGUAAUCGCAGAUCAGCUACGCUACGGUGAAUACGUUCUCGGGUCUUGUACACACCGCCCGUCACACCAUGAGAGCUGGUAAUACCCAAAGUCGGUUUGCUAACCUAACGGAGGCGACUGCCUAAGGUAGGACU